RNAcentral lists this ribosomal RNA (374 nucleotides) under uncultured organism. Its description in RNAcentral is "bacterial SSU rRNA". It matches the Rfam family "Bacterial small subunit ribosomal RNA", at positions 526 to 896 of the family's 1533-position model. The record is from RNAcentral.
CGGGGGGAGCAAGCGUUGUUCGGAUUUACUGGGCGUAAAGGGCGCGUAGGCGGCCAGCACAAGUCAGUUGUGAAAUCUCCGAGCUUAACUCGGAAAGGUCAACUGAUACUGUGCGGCUAGAGUGCGGAAGGGGCAACUGGAAUUCUUGGUGUAGCGGUGAAAUGCGUAGAUAUCAAGAGGAACACCUGCGGCGAAGGCGGGUUGCAGGGCCGACACUGACGCUGAUGCGCGAAAGCCAGGGGAGCGAACGGGAUUAGAUACCCCGGUAGUCCUGGCCUUAAACGAUGAAUGCUUGGUGUCUGGGGUUAUAAAGUCCCCGGGUGCCGUCGCUAACGCUUUAAGCAUUCCGCCUGGGGAGUACGGUCGCAAGACUG